AUUGCUUCUCAGCCUUCUGGCUAAGGUCAAGU
This 32-nucleotide small nuclear RNA is filed under the name Cervus elaphus hippelaphus. The record is from RNAcentral. Lineage: Eukaryota; Metazoa; Chordata; Mammalia; Artiodactyla; Cervidae.